AACGCGAAGAACCUUACCUGGGUUUGACAUGCUAGGAUUAUCUCGGUGAAAGCCGAGUAGGCCCCGCAAGGGGUACAACUAGUACAGGUGCUGCAUGGCUGUCGUCAGCUCGUGUCGUGAGAUGUCGGGUUAAGUCCCUUAACGAGCGAAACCUUUACCCUUAGUUACCAGCGGGUUAUGCCGGGGACUCUAAGGGGACUGCCGGUGUCAAACCGGAGGAAGGUGGAGAUGACGUCAAGUCCUCAUGGCCUUUAUGCCCAGGGCUACACACGUGCUACAAUGGGAUGCACAAAGCGAACCUAAACUGCAAAGUCAUGGAAAUCGCAGAAAUCAUCCCCCAGUCCAGAUUGGAGGCUGCAACUCGCCUCCAUGAAGUUGGAAUCGCUAGUAAUCGCGGAUCAGCUACGCCGCGGUGAAUGUGUUCCCGGGCCUUGUACACACCGCUGUA
This 448-nucleotide ribosomal RNA is filed under the name uncultured bacterium. RNAcentral's name for it is "bacterial SSU rRNA". It matches the Rfam family "Bacterial small subunit ribosomal RNA", at positions 958 to 1398 of the family's 1533-position model. The record is from RNAcentral.